This 376-nucleotide long non-coding RNA is filed under the name Malus domestica (apple). RNAcentral's name for it is "long non-coding RNA (MDOM_LNC012968)". The record is from RNAcentral. Lineage: Eukaryota; Viridiplantae; Streptophyta; Magnoliopsida; Rosales; Rosaceae.
GUGAAUAGAUUCGAUCAUGCUUUAAACGAGAUGAUUGACAUGUGCUGUAAAUUUCAAAACGGUUUCAAAAGGGACAGUGGGAGUGAGAAUGCAAUCACAAGGAAAAGGUUGCAUAAGAAGAAGGCAAAGAAAUCCAAAGGAACAUGCUUUCAUUGUGGAAAGGAUGAACGUUGGAAGAAGAAAUACAGGGUGUGCAUUGCGAGCCUUAUGACACGUACUUUUGAAGAGACUAUUUCUGUCAUAGAGAGUGCUUUUACAGUGAACUCCAAUUCCUGGAUAUUUGAUUCAGGCGCUAGUCAACAUAUCUGUAAUACGAUGUAGGGACUAGCAGGGAGCAGGUCACUGCGCAAUGGGGAGAUGGUUGUGCGAGUUGGGA